RNAcentral lists this ribosomal RNA (472 nucleotides) under uncultured organism. RNAcentral's name for it is "partial 16S ribosomal RNA". It matches the Rfam family "Bacterial small subunit ribosomal RNA", at positions 333 to 797 of the family's 1533-position model. The record is from RNAcentral.
ACACUCCUGCGGGAGGCAGCAGUGGGGAAUUUUGGACAAUGGGCGAAAGCCUGAUCCAGCAAUGCCGCGUGAGUGAAGAAGGCCUUCGGGUUGUAAAGCUCUUUUGUCAGGGAAGAAACGGUGAGAGCUAAUAUCUCUUGCUAAUGACGGUACCUGAAGAAUAAGCACCGGCUAACUACGUGCCAGCAGCCGCGGUAAUACGUAGGGUGCAAGCGUUAAUCGGAAUUACUGGGCGUAAAGCGUGCGCAGGCGGUUUUGUAAGUCUGAUGUGAAAUCCCCGGGCUCAACCUGGGAAUUGCAUUGGAGACUGCAAGGCUAGAAUCUGGCAGAGGGGGGUAGAAUUCCACGUGUAGCAGUGAAAUGCGUAGAUAUGUGGAGGAACACCGAUGGCGAAGGCAGCCCCCUGGGUCAAGAUUGACGCUCAUGCACGAAAGCGUGGGGAGCAAACAGGAUUAGAAACCCGAGUAGUCCC